GCGGUGGUAGCUCAGUCGGGUAAGCGCUCGCUUCUCAAGUUCUCACGCCAGAGAUGCGGGUUCGAAUCCCGGCGCUGACAUGUACUACC
This 89-nucleotide transfer RNA is filed under the name Plutella xylostella (diamondback moth). Its description in RNAcentral is "tRNA-Glu". The record is from RNAcentral. Lineage: Eukaryota; Metazoa; Arthropoda; Insecta; Lepidoptera; Plutellidae.